GAUGAACGCUGGCGGCGUGCCUAAUACAUGCAAGUCGAGCGAACAGACGAGGAGCUUGCUCCUCUGACGUUAGCGGCGGACGGGUGAGUAACACGUGGAUAACCUACCUAUAAGACUGGGAUAACUUCGGGAAACCGGAGCUAAUACCGGAUAAUAUAUUGAACCGCAUGGUUCAAUAGUGAAAGACGGUUUUGCUGUCGCUUAUAGAUGGAUCCGCGCCGCAUUAGCUAGUUGGUAAGGUAACGGCUUACCACGGCAACGAUGCGUAGCCGACCUGAGAGGGUGAUCGGCCACACGGGAACUGAGACGCGGUCCAGACUCCUACGGGAGGCAGCAGUAGGGAAUCUUCCGCAAUGGGCGAAAGCCUGACGGAGCAACGCCGCGUGAGUGAUGAAGGUCUUCGGAUCGUAAAACUCUGUUAUUAGGGAAGAACAAAUGUGUAAGUAACUAUGCACGUCUUGACGGUACCUAAUCAGAAAGCCACGGCUAACUACGUG
Molecule: ribosomal RNA, 497 nt
Filed under: uncultured bacterium
Lineage: Bacteria
Description: partial 16S ribosomal RNA
Rfam family: Bacterial small subunit ribosomal RNA
Source: RNAcentral